Molecule: non-coding RNA, 58 nt
Organism: Salmo salar (Atlantic salmon)
Lineage: Eukaryota; Metazoa; Chordata; Actinopteri; Salmoniformes; Salmonidae
Source: Rfam
UGACUCAGUUGGUAGAGCAUGGUGUUUGCAACGCCAGGGUUGUGGGUUCGAUUCCCAU